Molecule: ribosomal RNA, 931 nt
Filed under: uncultured bacterium
Lineage: Bacteria
Description: bacterial SSU rRNA
Rfam family: Bacterial small subunit ribosomal RNA
Source: RNAcentral
UUGACGGUACUUAAUGAAUAAGCACCGGCUAACUCCGUGCCAGCAGCCGCGGUAAUACGGAGGGUGCAAGCGUUACUCGGAAUUACUGGGCGUAAAGGACGCGUAGGCGGCCAGAUAAGUUAGAUGUGAAAUCCUAUGGCUUAACCAUAGAACUGCAUCUAAAACUAUUUGGCUAGAGUGAGGGAGAGGUCAGUGGAAUUAGUGGUGUAGGGGUAAAAUCCGUAGAGAUCACUAGGAAUACUCAUUGCGAAGGCGACUGACUGGAACUUAACUGACGCUGAGGCGUGAAAGCGUGGGGAGCAAACAGGAUUAGAUACCCUGGUAGUCCACGCCCUAAACGAUGUACACUAGUUGUUGCCAUGCUAGUCAUGGCAGUAAUGCAGCUAACGCAUUAAGUGUACCGCCUGGGGAGUACGGUCGCAAGAUUAAAACUCAAAGGAAUAGACGGGGACCCGCACAAGCGGUGGAGCAUGUGGUUUAAUUCGAAGAUACGCGAAGAACCUUACCUGGACUUGACAUCCUAUAAAUGAUUUAGAGAUAGAUUAGUGCUAGUUUACUAGAAUAUAGUGACAGGUGCUGCACGGCUGUCGUCAGCUCGUGUCGUGAGAUGUUGGGUUAAGUCCCGCAACGAGCGCAACCCUCGUCAUUAGUUGCUAACAGUUCGGCUGAGCACUCUAAUGAGACUGCCUUCGUAAGGAGGAGGAAGGUGAGGACGACGUCAAGUCAUCAUGGCCCUUAUGUCCAGGGCUACACACGUGCUACAAUGGCCAGGACAAUGAGACGCAAUACCGCGAGGUGGAGCAAAUCUAUAAACCUGGUCUCAGUUCGGAUAGCACUCUGCAACUCGAGUGCUUGAAGCUGGAAUCGCUAGUAAUCGUAGAUCAGCAAUGCUACGGUGAAUACGUUCCCGGGUCUUGUACACACCGCCCGU